GACGAACGCUGGCGGCGUGCUUAACACAUGCAAGUCGAACGGAAAUGCCCUGCUUUUGUGGGGUGCUCGAGUGGCGAACGGGUGAGUAACACGUUAGUAACCUGCCCUUGACUUUGGGAUAACUUCAGGAAACUGGGGCUAAUACCGGAUAGGAGCUCCUGCUGCAUGGUGUGGGUUGGAAAGUUUCGGCGGUUGGGGAUGGACUCGCGGCUUAUCAGCUUGUUGGUGGGGUAGUGGCUUACCAAGGCUUUGACGGGUAGCCGGCCUGAGAGGGUGACCGGCCACAUUGGGACUGAGAUAAGGCCCAGACUCCUACGGGAGGCAGCAGUGGGGAAUAUUGCACAAUGGGCGGAAGCCUGAUGCAGCAACGCCGCGUGCGGGAUGACGGCCUUCGGGUUGUAAACCGCUUUCGCCUGUGACGAAGCGUGAGUGACGGUAAUGGGUAAAGAAGCACCGGCUAACUACGUG
RNAcentral lists this ribosomal RNA (468 nucleotides) under uncultured bacterium. RNAcentral describes it as "partial 16S ribosomal RNA". It matches the Rfam family "Bacterial small subunit ribosomal RNA", at positions 28 to 507 of the family's 1533-position model. The record is from RNAcentral.